AAAAGACCAAAUAACAAUAAAAAUAUAUCUUGGAAACGUUUUAAUAUAUAUUAUAUCCUCAAUACUUCAUGGCGAUCAGUAAAUAAUCGUAAAUGGCUUAAAACUAAGUUGUAAACAAAUGUUCUGCCCCCUACCAGAGGAGAAAGUCCGGUCGUCACCACUGAAGACAAUAUAGCCUACCAGAAUACAGCUUACCGCUUGUUAGGCAUUGUUUGCACGUCGUGAAAGAAAUGAACGCACAUAGAGCUGGCUGUGUGCGUGUGUCUGUCUGACAGGAUGUUUCUAAUCUAGAACCGCUGAACGGAUGCUAAUGAAAAUUGAGAUGGGCAUUGUACAAUUGACGCCACCGCAAACUCAUAUUUCUUAAUCUCCUGCAGUUAGUAACACCUGCAAGACCGACGCAGGAGUUUCUUUCAUGUGACAGUAACAAUAGUGACAUUUAACAUACUCCUUGAUAUUACGUACCGCAACAGAUCUUUGACGAAUAAACAACAUAUUACGGUGCUUGUGUGUGUGUCUCAACAAAAGAGAGGCUAGAAACCUUUAUUUGGUUUACGGUUGCAUGGUGAUAACUAAUGAACAGUUGAAUUAAAGGUGCAAAAUUUUGUAUAGAGCUAGAUUAUACAAAUUACAAUAACUUCUACGUUAAAUAUUGUACCUAAAUAUAUAAUUUAAAAAAUUACGGUGAAAGAAGCAGACUCAAGUUUUCACCGUAUGAGAAAAUUAUACAAAAAAGGAAGGAAAAUGUAAUGUUACGAAUCAAUCCUAACAUUUUUAAGCCUGGUGAGAAAAUAUAUUCUACAUGGCUAUGGAAGUAAUGCUUGAAAUCAAAGAGGAUUCUGAGGUAUCUAACACACUGGGAACAUGCUAGUAAUUUGUUACAUAAUUUGUAAUGGAAGUUAACACUGUCACUUUUACAAGUAAAUACUAUGACUUAGUUUUUUAUCAGUGCUUAGUUUCACACCAUUAACUAAACACAAUUCCUCAACAGAGUCUUUAUCACAAUCCAAAGACCUAUUACUUCAACAUUCUUGAUAAAAUAAUACAUCAUAAGACUGUCUGCAAACAAGAAAUAGCUGGAAAUAUGAAUGGAUCAACAAAUAUCUUUAACAAAAUAUGAAGGGUCAAGGAAAAUAAAGUUGUUCUUUGUGGAAUAUCAGACUUCAUAAUAAUCUUAUAUGAACGUGUACCAACAAUAAGAACUGAUGCAUGUCUACUGGUCAAGUAGGUAUGAUAUUAAUUAACUGAGGAAAAUGAUGUGGCACGACAUCAAAACAAUAAUACGCAG
Cryptotermes secundus is the source of this 1288-nucleotide long non-coding RNA. RefSeq lists it as uncharacterized. The transcript is spliced from 2 exons. The record is from RefSeq and is a predicted model, not a curated record. Lineage: Eukaryota; Metazoa; Arthropoda; Insecta; Blattodea; Kalotermitidae.